This is a non-coding RNA of Ailuropoda melanoleuca (giant panda), 73 nucleotides long. The record is from Rfam. Lineage: Eukaryota; Metazoa; Chordata; Mammalia; Carnivora; Ursidae.
GCCUGGCUGGCUCAGUCAGUGGGGCAUGUGACUCUUAACCUCGGAGUUGUGAGUUCGAGCCCCACGUUGGGUG